CUUGCAUUUGCACGCACUGGAGCAAAUAGCACUGAAGUGAAAAAAAAAUCGCACUCACCCACUGCUCCGUACAUCUGCUCCAACGCCGGCGACCAGACCGCGGCUCCAUGACCGGAGACCAACCCCGGCGGUGCUUCUUCUCCCCCACCCCGUCCCCCAUCCCUGCAACACCCUGAUCCCUCCUCUGAGCUCCAGCUCUCCCCCAUCUCGCAUCCCGUGUGACCGACGCCUCCACAUCAAUGACCACCUCCGGCCGGUGACCCGCGACUGGGAGGUGCUCGAGUUCUUCAGAGGCGGAAGCGGAGGCGUGGAUCACCCAGCUUGCCCCCGCUCGCAUGUCCCUCGAGUCAGCCGUCGCUGAGCGCCUACAGCUCGCGCUCGCCGUCCUCCUCCGCUGAUAUCUCCUCCCGUACAUGGAUAGUUGUCGAGCUCAGUCGCCGCUUCCAGGGCCAGGCCCUCUCAUCACGCCUGAAGGGAGGGAAGAGCAAGCAGCAAACCAGGUGAGGAACCAAAGAGCAGGCAGAAGAAAACAUAAAUCAGUGAACUACGUUUCAAGGGUGUCUGGGUGACUCCCGAUUGUCCAACAGAUGGUGUAUGCCAUAUUGCGAAUGUUGGAAAAUAUUUUCAAGACUUGGAAUGCUGGAAUUCUUGGUCCAGUGAGACUUUAUGGCCAGAAUGAGGGAAGAAGAGAUCUCACAUGGCAGAAAUGAACUUAUGAGGUAGUAAUGCUGAUGGGCCAUGCAGCAUGUCAAUCUCUAUCAGGCAUGCCAUGCAACUCCAAGUUAAGGCAGAGAUGUUGAUUUUGUGCGAGGACAUGACCAGUGACCACCGGCCUAAAAUAUUCAAGAAGAUCGAGGAGAUUCCGAAUGUGAAGGAAAGGUGGUUCAAUUGGACAACACUGAGGGGAAUUAGCUUCAUCUAUCAUUCAUUCAACAAGAUAACUUGUUACGUACAAAUUGUCAGUAUGAUUAAAUGGGAUGUGAGGCAGCCUCCUUGGAGCAGCUGGAGUUGGAGGAGCAGCUGCCGACGGCAGGUGCUGGGCGGCGUCCUCGAUGGUGUCGGCGGUGACGUCUUGUUGGUGAUGAUCCGCGAUGGUAUCCUUCGUGAAGGACUUGCUGGCGACGGUUGGCGGCAACUACGGUCUAGCUAUUGACCAUGGUGAGUUGAUGGACAUGGAGCAGUUCGAGUUGGCAUGUGUAGGGCGACGGCGCUGUCGCUAGUCCGUGGUGCCGAAGGUCGCGAGGGCGCUGGGAGGCGACGGUCGUGCGGAUGAAGAUCGGCGAGGGGACGAAGGUCGGCCGGGGAGCUGCGAGGCGACAGUCGUGCGGGUGAAGAUUGGCGAGGGGACGAAGGUCGGCCGGGGAGCUGCGAGGCGACGGUCGUGCGGGAUGAAGGUGGGCAUGUUUUGGUAACGGUUUUAUUUGGAGAUGCGUUAGUGGAGAUUCGUCCGGACUGUUCAAUUAACGUAACGAUUGGAGAUGGUUGUCCGUCCGGGCUGAUCUAGACCAUACGACCUGUUUUGGUUGGUUCUGAUUUAAUGGAUCUGCCCCCUUCUGGGACCUUUUAUAUUAGUGGAGAUGGAGAUGGAGAUGAACUGCACCGGAUCAGAACUUCAAUGUAUGAUUAACAAAUUAUUUGUUAGAGGUCUGCAUUCUAGAUGCCCAUUUUCUUACAAAA
Lolium perenne is the source of this 1677-nucleotide long non-coding RNA. RefSeq lists it as uncharacterized. NCBI's taxonomy places the organism in Eukaryota, Viridiplantae, Streptophyta, Magnoliopsida, Poales, Poaceae. The record is from RefSeq and is a predicted model, not a curated record.